This 3068-nucleotide ribosomal RNA is filed under the name Acinetobacter baumannii. RNAcentral describes it as "bacterial LSU rRNA". It matches the Rfam family "Bacterial large subunit ribosomal RNA". The record is from RNAcentral. Lineage: Bacteria; Pseudomonadati; Pseudomonadota; Gammaproteobacteria; Moraxellales; Moraxellaceae.
AGUGCAUGUGGUGGAUGCCUUGGCAGUCAGAGGCGAUGAAAGACGUGAUAGCCUGCGAAAAGCUCCGGGGAGGCGGCAAAUAUCCUUUGAUCCGGAGAUGUCUGAAUGGGGGAACCCACCUACUUUAAGGUAGGUAUUGCAACAUGAAUACAUAGUGUUGCAAGGCGAACGAGGGGAAGUGAAACAUCUCAGUACCCUUAGGAAAAGAAAUCAAUUGAGAUUCCCUCAGUAGCGGCGAGCGAACGGGGAUCAGCCCAUUAAGUUAUGUGUGUUUUAGUGGAACGCUCUGGGAAGUGCGAACGUAGAGGGUGAUAUUCCCGUACACGAAAGGGCACACAUAAUGAUGACGAGUAGGGCGAGGCACGUGAAACCUUGUCUGAAUAUGGGGGGACCAUCCUCCAAGGCUAAAUACUCCUGACUGACCGAUAGUGAACCAGUACCGUGAGGGAAAGGCGAAAAGAACCCCUGUGAGGGGAGUGAAAUAGAUCCUGAAACCGCAUGCAUACAAGCAGUGGGAGCACCUUCGUGGUGUGACUGCGUACCUUUUGUAUAAUGGGUCAGCGACUUAUAUUCAGUAGCAAGGUUAACCGUAUAGGGGAGCCGUAGAGAAAUCGAGUCUUAAUAGGGCGUUUAGUUGCUGGGUAUAGACCCGAAACCAGGCGAUCUAUCCAUGAGCAGGUUGAAGGUUGGGUAACACUAACUGGAGGACCGAACCCACUGUCGUUGAAAAGCCAGGGGAUGACUUGUGGAUAGGGGUGAAAGGCUAAUCAAGCCUGGUGAUAGCUGGUUCUCCCCGAAAGCUAUUUAGGUAGCGCCUCGGACGAAUACCAUAGGGGGUAGAGCACUGUUUCGGCUAGGGGGUCAUCCCGACUUACCAAACCGAUGCAAACUCCGAAUACCUAUGAGUACUAUCCGGGAGACAGACUGCGGGUGCUAACGUCCGUAGUCAAGAGGAAAACAAUCCAGACCGCCAGCUAAGGCCCCAAAAUCAUAGUUAAGUGGGAAACGAUGUGGGAAGGCAUAGACAGCUAGGAGGUUGGCUUANNNNNNNNNNNNNNNGAAGCAGCCACCCUUUAAAGAAAGCGUAAUAGCUCACUAGUCGAGUCGGCCUGCGCGGAAGAUGUAACGGGGCUAAAACUAUGUGCCGAAGCUGCGGAUUUGACAUUAGUCAAGUGGUAGGGGAGCGUUCUGUAAGCCGAUGAAGGUGUAUUGAGAAGUNGAAGCAGCCACCCUUUAAAGAAAGCGUAAUAGCUCACUAGUCGAGUCGGCCUGCGCGGAAGAUGUAACGGGGCUAAAACUAUGUGCCGAAGCUGCGGAUGUAUACUUUGUAUACGUGGUAGGGGAGCGUUCUGUAAGCCGAUGAAGGUGUGUUGAGAAGCNNNNNNNNNNNNNNNAUGCUGGAGGUAUCAGAAGUGCGAAUGCUGACGUGAGUAACGACAAAACGGGUGAAAAACCCGUUCGCCGAAAGACCAAGGGUUCCAGUCCAACGUUAAUCGGGGCUGGGUGAGUCGACCCCUAAGGCGAGGCCGAAAGGCGUAGUCGAUGGGAAAAUGGUUAAUAUUCCAUUACUUCUGUGUAAUGCGAUGAGAGGACGGAGAAGGCUAAAUCAGCCUGGCGUUGGUUGUCCAGGUGAAAGGAUGUAGGCAUGUAUCUUAGGCAAAUCCGGGGUACUCUAUGCUGAGAUCUGAUAGCAAGCUGUACUUGUACAGCGAAGUGGUUGAUGCCAUGCUUCCAGGAAAAGUCUCUAAGCUUCAGUUACACAGGAAUCGUACCCGAAACCGACACAGGUGGUCAGGUCGAGUAGACCAAGGCGCUUGAGAGAACUCUGCUGAAGGAACUAGGCAAAAUGGUACCGUAACUUCGGGAGAAGGUACGCUGUUGUUGGUGAUGGAACUCGCUUCCUGAGCUGACGACAGCCGCAGAAACCAGGCCGCUGCAACUGUUUAUUAAAAACAUAGCACUCUGCAAACACGAAAGUGGACGUAUAGGGUGUGAUGCCUGCCCGGUGCUGGAAGGUUAAUUGAUGGGGUUAGCGUAAGCGAAGCUCUUGAUCGAAGCCCCAGUAAACGGCGGCCGUAACUAUAACGGUCCUAAGGUAGCGAAAUUCCUUGUCGGGUAAGUUCCGACCUGCACGAAUGGCAUAAUGAUGGCGGCGCUGUCUCCAGCAGAGGCUCAGUGAAAUCGAAAUCGCUGUGAAGAUGCAGUGUACCCGCGGCUAGACGGAAAGACCCCGUGAACCUUUACUGCAGCUUGACACUGAACUUUGACCUUACUUGUGUAGGAUAGGUGGGAGGCUUUGAAGCUGGAACGCUAGUUCCAGUGGAGCCGUCCUUGAAAUACCACCCUGGUAAUGUUGAGGUUCUAACUCUGUCCCGUGAUCCGGGACGAGGACCGUGUCUGGUGGGUAGUUUGACUGGGGCGGUCUCCUCCUAAAGAGUAACGGAGGAGUACGAAGGUGCGCUCAGCGUGGUCGGAAAUCACGCGUAGAGUAUAAAGGCAAAAGCGCGCUUAACUGCGAGACCCACAAGUCGAGCAGGUACGAAAGUAGGUCUUAGUGAUCCGGUGGUUCUGUAUGGAAGGGCCAUCGCUCAACGGAUAAAAGGUACUCUGGGGAUAACAGGCUGAUACCGCCCAAGAGUUCAUAUCGACGGCGGUGUUUGGCACCUCGAUGUCGGCUCAUCUCAUCCUGGGGCUGAAGCAGGUCCCAAGGGUAUGGCUGUUCGCCAUUUAAAGAGGUACGCGAGCUGGGUUUAGAACGUCGUGAGACAGUUCGGUCCCUAUCUACCGUGGGCGCUGGAAAUUUGAGAGGAUCUGCUCCUAGUACGAGAGGACCAGAGUGGACGAACCUCUGGUGUACCGGUUGUGACGCCAGUCGCAUCGCCGGGUAGCUAUGUUCGGAAGGGAUAACCGCUGAAAGCAUCUAAGCGGGAAGCCUACCUCAAGAUAAGAUUUCCCUAGGACUUUAUGUCCUCUAAAGAGCCGUUCGAGACUAGGACGUUGAUAGGUUGGAUGUGGAAGCAUAGUGAUAUGUGAAGCUGACCAAUACUAAUUGCUCGUGAGGCUUGACU